AACUGCAGAUGUUUGAGUUCUCCCAUUGUAUCUCAGCUACUGAGGAACGUUUUAUUUCAUAUCUGAGCACCGUGACCCUUUUUGGGAGAACCUUUCACAAUGGUAGCCCAGGGCCCAGCAGUUUUGUCUAAGGAGUAGUAAGAAAGAGCUGGUUGUGACACCACCUAUAACAAAAAUAAGAGGAUGGAAAUACUAAACACGGUUAAAAAGCCACACAACAAAACUUGGGCUACUUGGAUGGGAUCAGGUGAGAAAACUGUAGUUGCACCUUGACCAAAGAAGGUUCUUGUGAAGGUUUCCACGUACAAUGUGAUUUCAGCAGAGGUACCCUGCUUUCCACUCUAAGAACUGCAGAAUGCUUAACUGCUUCAUUUGUUGGCCUUCAAAGGGUAGCAGAGUUGUCUGCCGUGUGAAUAGUUGGUAGAAAUGGACAUUGCUCCUGGCAAAGUGAUGCUUCUGUGGCCUGCUCUGAAAAUGCAUUCAAUCGGAGUGACUCUAGUAAGGGGGAAAUAUAUGCAUUGCAUCUGCUCCAGACAUGAGACAGCAUGGGCUGGUGGCCUUCUGCAGGAGGAAUGGCUCUGCUCUCCCACAGGAGCUGCAGCACUGCCGUCUGCUCGCUGCCCCGCUUCCUCCAGCACUACACCUCUGCUUACACACAGAUGGGCUGAAGUUGUUCCUGCUUUUGGGAUGAGAAAAAGGAACAGUGGAUGUAUCCUGGAGAACGGAUUUAAGAGGUGUGUUAAAUUCUCCUUUGAUUCCUCCUUCGUAGCUACUCCUCACCUUUUUAUUUUUUUAUUUUUUGUGGGAGGAAUGACAGUCCUUUUCCCAGAAGCAGUUAAUGAACAGGAGCUGUCCUCUACCAUGAUGCCGACAUGCCAGCUCUCCAUACAUGCAAAACAGCAUUUAAGAUACCACAGAAAGGACUGCAUGAUUGUUAAAUAUCAUGGAAAAAAAAUGGGAUUAUUUCAUGUGAGGGCUUACUUCAUGCUCCUUCCACAGAUCUUUCUGUUUGCCUUGGGCUGUGAUUUCCUGUGGGCAGUGACCAAGGAACAGCAUGGUCUAGAUAAACUCUACUUAACAUGCUUACUUGGAUGGAGGUGGAUUGGCAUUGUCUUUUUUUCCAGGAGUCAAGACUGA
This 1137-nucleotide long non-coding RNA is filed under the name Numida meleagris (helmeted guineafowl). Its description in RNAcentral is "lncRNA (ENSNMEG00000016409.1)". Lineage: Eukaryota; Metazoa; Chordata; Aves; Galliformes; Numididae. The record is from RNAcentral.